GAUGAACGCUGGCGGCGUGCCUAAUACAUGCAAGUCGAGCGAACGGACGAGAAUCUUGCUUCUCUGAUGUUAGCGGCGGACGGGUGAGUAACACGUGGAUAACCUACCUAUAAGACUGGGAUAACUUCGGGAAACCGGAGCUAAUACCGGAUAAUAUUUUGAACCGCAUGGUUCAAAAGUGAAAGACGGUCUUGCUGUCACUUAUAGAUGGAUCAGCGCUGCAUUAGCUAGUUGGUAAGGUAACGGCUUACCAAGGCAACGAUGCAUAGCCGACCUGAGAGGGUGAUCGGCCACACUGGAACUGAGACACGGUCCAGACUCCUACGGGAGGCAGCAGUAGGGAAUCUUCGGCAAUGGGCGAAAGCCUGACGGAGCAAUGCCGCGUGAGUGAUGAAGGUCUUCGGAUCGUAAAACUCUGUUAUUAGGGAAGAACAGAUGUGUAAGUAACUGUGCACAUCUUGACGGUACCUAAUCAGAAAGCCACGGCUAACUACGUG
RNAcentral lists this ribosomal RNA (497 nucleotides) under uncultured bacterium. Its description in RNAcentral is "partial 16S ribosomal RNA". It matches the Rfam family "Bacterial small subunit ribosomal RNA", at positions 28 to 507 of the family's 1533-position model. The record is from RNAcentral.